CCAAGCCCAAACCUUACCCAAAUAUUUUUAAUCAGAUCGGGUCGGGUAAGUCUCACUCACAGAAAUAGUACCGUUAGGCGAGAGAGAAAUUUUAGGGUUUUGGUGCGCCUAUAUAAUCCUCGCAGCGAACAGGGCAUUUCAGCACCGAUUCAGAAAUCUUCACCCCUAUAGGGAAAAUAGUUUCCAGCAUUUAGAUUUCUUCAUUUUUCGUGAAGUAUUAUGUUUGCACGGUGCCUCCCGGGCAUCUCUGAAUCUACAUGACGUGAACGCCCCGAUGCACGUGCGAAAUCGUCGCCGUUCGUGUUGCAGUUCAUCCCCAAUUUUCCACGGUUGAUCUGUGUCAAACUUCUUUUCGAACACGUGUUCUCUGAAUUCGAAGCUAGUCCUAAAGGCGCAAAUCGAAACGCGGUUGUUUUUACUUGGUGCGAGGGUUUUUCCUUUGUUCCUUCGGAAAUGAUCGUUAAAUAACCAUUUCGGUGGUGUAGUUUUAUUUGCUUAUAUAUUUUUAUAUCUCGGCCAUGAUUAUAUAUUAUCCGCGCUUCUGAGUUUUCUCGAUGAAGUCAAUUUGGUUAAAUAUGGUUGAAUUUCUUUAUAUGAGCCAUGUUUUUUUAUAUAUGAAAAUUAUAUAUUGAUUUUAUUUUAACAGUUUUAGUAUCUAGCAUAUUCAAUUUAUGAUUCUUUUUUCAAUAAAUGGCUAUGAGGAUAUCUAUUCAGCUUUAUGCCAGUUCUGCUUCUGAAAAUUUGUGAUUGAUAGAGCUGUUGUAUAUCUCUGAGCCUCCAGCAAUUAUCUUUGUUUUUUAUUUUGUUUAUUUAUUGUUUUUUGUUUUCAUCUACUUGGUAUCUUUUAUUGACAUUGCUGAUGAUGAUUUAAUCCAACUUUAUGAGAUGCUGUGGAGCCAAGACCCUGUUUUCAGGGAGAACCUACUUGGUGAAGCUUCGUUCAUAUGAUAUCUUCGGAUUUUACUGAGGCAUUUUAAUAUGACAAUUGAAUGAACUUUAUAUUUUCCUUUGUUUCCUAUAAUUUAUUGUUAAAUUUGACUACAGUAACCAAUGAUUUUCCAAUCCAACUUGUUAGAGGUUGUAGUUGAUCCAAGACCCUGCUUCAGGGAGAACCUACUUGGUGUUACUAUAUUUCCUAUGACAGCAACUAUUUAUCUGAGGUUGCUUAUGUAGUUCAUUUUUUAGUUGUUUUUUUCUAGUUGUAUACAUUGAGUUUCACUAUACCCUCUUCUUAUUUAAUUAGUUCUGGGUCUGAAAAACUCAUAGAUUGAGUGUUGUCAUCAGCUUCAUCUCUUGUAACUCACGAGAUAGGAGUUAAAUAACAGCACUACAUUUUUUGUCUGUUAUUUUCUAAAUUUAGUUAUGGAAUUUAGUGCACUCGUACAAAAUAACCUUUUGUAUGUUUUUUUUGUACAAACUGAAUCUGAUCUUUUAUAUUUGUUUUCGAUUUGGUACGUAUUUUGUCGAUCAAUAUGGAUGACUUUACAAUAAAAAACAUUAUUAUUAUCUUUUUAUUGGUGAGGUCAUGGCCUUCCACCUAAGUGUCUUAACAUCAAGAAGUAAGUUCACUUUUAAAAGGUUUAUAUGAAUAAGGUCAUGGCCUUCCACCUAAGUGUCCUAUUUAUUGAUGAAGUUCAUCGUACAUUGUAGAACUGGAUAUAAACCUUUUAAAUGGAUAUAUUUAUUAAUGAAUAUAUUACAACACAAUUUGAUGUUAGACCAUUACAACACAAUUUGAUGUUAGACCAUUACAACACAAUUUGAUGUUAGACCAGAAAUGUUGACUAACUCUAUGACACUAACAUAAUAUCUGUCCAAACUUUUCAAAUUUUGAACCAUGGUUUUCAAUGAAAUUAAAACAAUGUAGGUUGAGGUGUAAAAUUAUAUUCCACUCAAGUCAAGAAAAAGAUCAGGAAAUUUCAAGCUGGGCUACUACUAAUUCCACUAACUCUUCCUUCUCCAGCAGACGUUGACUGGAUCACACAAUUAAAGAGUAUUAGAUAUCAAUGAAGGUCCUAUAUAUUCCAAAAUUCUUGCUCACUUUGUACAGAAUUGCGAGGUUGGAAGAGGAGUUCCAUGGUGGAUUCAAACAUAAAGAUAUUUUGAACCAUUUGGACAACAACGAAACGUCUCAACCAUGUUGAUCGAAAUCAAUGAAAUCCUUGAGAUGUUAUAUGGGGUGAUCAAGGAUUAAUAAUUUUUAGGUGUUUUCAAACUCAAUAUAUUAUUAUGCUAUGCGAAGGGGUAUCAAUCACCUGGAUUAAUAAUCGAUCCAUCAAUAUUUUUCAAGUGUUUUCAAACUCAAUAUAUUAUUAUGUGAC
This 2321-nucleotide small RNA is filed under the name Vigna angularis var. angularis. Lineage: Eukaryota; Viridiplantae; Streptophyta; Magnoliopsida; Fabales; Fabaceae. The record is from RNAcentral.